Molecule: ribosomal RNA, 527 nt
Filed under: uncultured bacterium
Lineage: Bacteria
Description: bacterial SSU rRNA
Rfam family: Bacterial small subunit ribosomal RNA
Source: RNAcentral
UAGUCCACGCCGUAAACGAUGAUAACUAGCCGUUAGAUUUAUUCUAGUGGCGCAGCUAACGCAUUAAGUUAUCCGCCUGGGGAGUACGGCCGCAAGGCUAAAACUCAAAUGAAUUGACGGGGACCCGCACAAGCGGUGGAGCAUGUGGUUUAAUUCGAUGCAACGCGAAAAACCUUACCUACCCUUGACAUCAUUGGAACUUGUUAGAGAUAACUUGGUGCCUUCGGGAACCAAUAGACAGGUGCUGCAUGGCUGUCGUCAGCUCGUGUCGUGAGAUGUUGGGUUAAGUCCCGCAACGAGCGCAACCCUUGUCCUUAGUUGCCAGCGCGUAAUGGCGGGAACUCUAGGGAGACUGCCGGUGACAAACCGGNGGAAGGUGGGGAUGGACGUCAAGUCAUCAUGGGCCCUUACGGGGUAGGGGCUACACACGUGCUACAAUGGGUCGGUACAGAGGGGUUGCGAAGCCGCGAGGUGGGAGCUAAUCUCACAAAACCGNUCGGUAGUCCGGGAUUGGGAGUCUGCAACUC